RNAcentral lists this ribosomal RNA (404 nucleotides) under Actinomycetes bacterium. Its description in RNAcentral is "Actinobacteria bacterium partial 16S ribosomal RNA". It matches the Rfam family "Bacterial small subunit ribosomal RNA", at positions 355 to 776 of the family's 1533-position model. The record is from RNAcentral. Lineage: Bacteria; Bacillati; Actinomycetota; Actinomycetes.
UGGGGAAUAUUGGACAAUGGGCGCAAGCCUGAUCCAGCCAUGCCGCGUGAGUGAUGAAGGCCCUAGGGUUGUAAAGCUCUUUCACCGGUGAAGAUAAUGACGGUAACCGGAGAAGAAGCCCCGGCUAACUUCGUGCCAGCAGCCGCGGUAAUAUGAAGGGGGCUAGCGUUGUUCGGAUUUACUGGGCGUAAAGCGCACGUAGGCGGACUAUUAAGUCAGGGGUGAAAUCCCGGGGCUCAACCCCGGAACUGCCUUUGAUACUGGUAGUCUUGAGUUCGAGAGAGGUGAGUGGAAUUCCGAGUGUAGAGGUGAAAUUCGUAGAUAUUCGGAGGAACACCAGUGGCGAAGGCGGCUCACUGGCUCGAUACUGACGCUGAGGUGCGAAAGCGUGGGGAGCAAACAGG